CGGGGUGCAGCAGGCGCGAAAACUUUGCAAUACACGAAAGUGUGACAGGGUCAUCCCGAGUGCCGACCGCUGAGGUUGGCUUUUACCCAGUCUAGAAAGCUGGGGGAAUAAGGAGAGGGCAAGUCUGGUGUCAGCCGCCGCGGUAAUACCAGCUCUCCGAGUGGUGUGGACGUUUAUUGGGCCUAAAGCAUCCGUAGCUGGCUGAACAAGUCCCCUGUUAAACCCACCGAUUUAAUCGUUGGUCUGCGGGGGAUACUGCUCGGCUAGGGGACGAGAGAGGCAGACGGUAUUCCCGGGGUAGGGGUGAAACCCUAUAAUCCCGAGAAGACCACCAGUGGCGAAGGCUGUCUGCUAGAACGCGCCCGACGGUGAGGGAUGAAAGCUGGGGGAGCGAACCGGAUUAGAUACCCGGGUAGUCCCAGCUGUAAACGAUGCAGACUAGGUGUUUGGACGGCCACGUGCCGUUCUAGUGCCGCAGGGAAGCUGUUAAGUCUGCCGCCUGGGGAGUACGAUCGCAAGAUUGAAACUUAAAGGAAUUGGCGGGGGAGCACAAGGGCGAUUGCGG
RNAcentral lists this ribosomal RNA (565 nucleotides) under uncultured archaeon. RNAcentral describes it as "bacterial SSU rRNA". It matches the Rfam family "Archaeal small subunit ribosomal RNA", at positions 326 to 893 of the family's 1478-position model. The record is from RNAcentral.